AUACGUAGGGUGCAAGCGUUAAUCGGAAUUACUGGGCGUAAAGCGUGCGCAGGCGGUUUUGUAAGACAGAGGUGAAAUUCCCGGGGUCAACCUGGGGACUGCCUUUGUGACGGGAAGGCUAGAGUACGGCAGAGGGGGCGGGAAUUCCGCGGGUACGAGUGAAAUGCGUAGAUAUGCGGAGGAACACCGAUGGCGAAGGCAAUCCCCUGGGCCUGUACUGACGCUCAUGCACGAAAGCGUGGGGAGCAAACAGGAUUAGAUACCCUGGUAGUCCACGCCCUAAACGAUGUCAACUGGUUGUUGGGUCUUCAUUGACUCAGUAACGAAGCUAACGCGUGAAGUUGACCGCCUGGGGAGUACGGCCGCAAGGUUGAAACUCAAAUGAAUUGACGGGG
This 395-nucleotide ribosomal RNA is filed under the name uncultured bacterium. Its description in RNAcentral is "partial 16S ribosomal RNA". It matches the Rfam family "Bacterial small subunit ribosomal RNA", at positions 523 to 918 of the family's 1533-position model. The record is from RNAcentral.